Molecule: ribosomal RNA, 246 nt
Filed under: uncultured bacterium
Lineage: Bacteria
Description: partial 16S ribosomal RNA
Rfam family: Bacterial small subunit ribosomal RNA
Source: RNAcentral
UACGAAGGGGGCGAGCGUUGUUCGGAUUUACUGGGCGUAAAGGGCGCGCAGGCGGCUUUGUUUGUCAGGCGUGAAAGCCCCGGGCUUAACCUGGGAACUGCGUUUGAUACGGCAGGGCUAGAGUUCGGGAGAGGAGAGUGGAAUUCCCAGUGUAGAGGUGAAAUUCGUAGAUAUUGGGAAGAACACCGGUGGCGAAGGCGGCUCUCUGGACCGAGUACUGACGCUGAGGCGCGAAAGCGUGGGGAG